UACGUAGGGGGCUAGCGUUGUCCGGAAUCACUGGGCGUAAAGGGCGCGUAGGUGGUGGCUUAAGCGUGCGGUGAAAGCUCGGGGCUCAACUCCGAGUCGGCCGUGCGAACUGGGCUCACUGGAGCAUAGUAGAGGCAGGUGGAAUUCCGGGUGUAGCGGUGGAAUGCGUAGAGAUCCGGAAGAACACCGGUGGCGAAGGCGGCCUGCUGGGCUAUGGCUGACACUGAGGCGCGACAGCGUGGGGAGCAAACAGG
Molecule: ribosomal RNA, 254 nt
Filed under: uncultured bacterium
Lineage: Bacteria
Description: partial 16S ribosomal RNA
Rfam family: Bacterial small subunit ribosomal RNA
Source: RNAcentral